Colius striatus (speckled mousebird) is the source of this 1771-nucleotide long non-coding RNA. RefSeq lists it as uncharacterized. The transcript has 3 exons. Lineage: Eukaryota; Metazoa; Chordata; Aves; Coliiformes; Coliidae. The record is from RefSeq and is a predicted model, not a curated record.
GGAGAGGAAUGGCGGCGGCGCCCGGCCGGGCCGGGGCCGUGAGGGGCGGCGCUGCCAGCCCUCGGUCAUCGCGCCACACACGCUGCACCCGUUCGGUUUAUAUCGCUCCUGCAGGGGUUAUACAUAUUCACCCCGCUUCCCGGGACUCCAGACCGUAUUGCCCCAGCCAGCCCGCGUGUGCGUUGCGCUGCUGAGGGUCUCUGGCGGCGGUCCUUGGGCGUAGACACCCCUGACAGUGUCUUCGUGGCUGUUCUCUGGAUGAACUCUUUAGUUUUUUUUCCUUUUUGAGCAACUUCUUGUGGGUCGAGAGACUCGGAUCACUCGUGCUUCAGUCCUCACGGUGUUCCUGUUUUAGAAGCUUAUUUUUGCUCUGCCACAGCCAAAACCUUCUCUUCUGGGACUGAGCAGAUUCUAGCUAGAAGGAUCAAAAAGGGGCUGAGGAUUUUAGUCACAUCAGCAGGUAAUUGAGCUGGUCUUUACCAGUGAAAUAAGGUCAGGUUGGCAACAAGGAAGGAAAAAGCCAUUACCAGAACUCAGAAGUCUUCCUCCAACAGAAGUGAAAAGUCUGACAACUGGAGAGUAAAAAGGGAGGAUGCAUGAAACAAGGAGUCAAUGGACAGCAAUGGGAACAGGGGAAGGAAAGUACUUGGAGAGCACAGGCAAAAGAACAGGUUCACUGAAUGCCUAUGUGAUGUGCAGAGGCUGGCAGGAAGGGUAACAAAUGGAGUGCCAUGGAAAGGCUGGAGCAGACACUACACUGGGAAACAGUUCUUCCAUCAACUCUCAAACUACAGCUUUUAUCAAGACUGGAAUCCAACCUACCUAUCAAGAGGUUUUAUGUUGUGCUUCAAAAGAAAAAGCACAUCUUAUCAGAUGCCAUCAAGGUCCAAGAGCUGGCUUGAAUGCUGAAGGAGCCCAAAUCUUCCCCUCUCACCCAGAGAGCUGUGAAACCUCAGGGUGACUCAGCACUUGGGCACACUCAGCAGCAUCUGCUCCUCCUCGAUGUUCUCAGGGAGAAAGUGAAAUGAAGGAACACAGGCGAGAAACAGGAAGAGUGGAAGAAACAAGGAGUGUACUCAGCCUGAGCCAUCUGAACAGUGAGUGAGGAGUCAGGCACAGUGAGCUGGUGCCAUGCACAGAAUCCCAGAGUGCUGGGGGUUAGAAGGGCCCUGCAGAGCUCCUCCAGCCCAAUCCCCAGCUGAAGCAGGUUCCCCUCGCUCGGGGCACAGGAACGUGUCCAGGAAGUUUUUCCUUGUGUUUGGAACCUCUUCUGUUCCAGCUUGUGCCCGUUGCCCCUUGUCCUGUCAUUGGCAUCCCUGAGCACAGCCUGGCUCCAGCCUCCUCACACCCACCCUUGAUGCAUUUGCAACAUGAAUGAGCUCACCCCUCAGUCUCUUCUCCAAGCUGCAGAGCCCCAGCUCCCUCAGCCUUUCAUCACAAGGCAGAUGCUCCACUCCAGCAUCUCUGUGGCCCUGCACUGAACUCUCUCCAGCAGCUCCCUGUCCUUCUGCAACUGAGAGGCCCAGGACUGAACACAAUAUCCCAGAUGUGGUCUCAUGAGGGCAGAGUGGGAGGAGAUGGGGGCAGAGGGGGAGCAGAACCUCUCUGACCUACUGCCCACAGCCCUUCUAACCCACCCCAGGAUGCCACUGGUUGCCCACGAGAGCACAUUGCUAGGGUUUCUCACCCUUUCCCUGCUUCACCUGGUUUACAUAAACACUGACAGGCAAAUUAAAAAGCUGCUUUGGUUCCUGCCAGUCCCUUUCCCCAC